CGGAACUCUAAGUUCUCCUGCGCCAGCAGCAGCAGGUAUCUUUUCAGCCCAGCACUGGCGAGCGCCAUAGCCUCUAGUGACUGAUUCUUGGGGCACGCAUGCGCAGAGCCACGUUCGGGAAGAACUAGCGGAGAGGCGUGGCCAGAGCAGAGGAAAUGAAGGGCACGAGGAGGGGCGGGGGAGAGCGAGAGGCUGCCGCCGAAGUGAGUAUUGUAGGGUUGAAGUGCAUUAGCUGCGAAACGUUCUGCUACUGAAAAGACGAAUAUUGUGCUUUGGACAACAAAGCUGUUACUUCAGGACUUCUUUUGGUGUAUCCAGAUGUGUUCUUAAAACAUGGAGGGAAGCAAAGUGCAGAAUAUCAAAACAGCAAAAACCCAUAUUGGUACAGUUGGAGAACUAGCAAGAGGCUGGCAGAGUUGGACUAAAGAUCAUAUCGAUUAUCAGAGACGGAAUCCAUUCAGCAGCAACAGACCAGUAACUCUAUAUGCUAAAAGGGGAGAUGUUACCUAUGGGAGACCCCCUGAAGGCUCCAAAACAGAACAGAGGGGUAAAGAUGCUCACACCCACAUAAGCAAGGAAAUGGAAGAACUAUGCUUGGUCAUACGAAGCGUUGGAGAAAUGGGCCAGGAUGGACAUGUAAAAAUAACAUUCAAACAGAUCUUUGACAAAUAUGUAACCAUAUCCAAUAAGGUAGUUGGUGUUCUACUGAGAGCAAGGAAACAUGGCUUAGUUGACUUUGAUGGUGAAAUGCUUUGGCAAGGAAAAGAUGAUAAUGUGAUUAUUACCUUACUUGAGUAAAGUCGCUAGGUAUUAACCAUACUGCAUGUGGGUCUGAGAGCAGUUGAACACUGCUGGUUAGUGAAAACAGAAGGAAUUAUUUAAAUGAAAAAGGAGCAGAAACUAAACAUUUUGCAAUGAGUUUACACCUUGGUCAAUGAAUUCUCCAAUCAGUCUGUGCUAACUACUCUUAUCUAACUCCAGUAAUAAGACCGGAUGAACUCCCACAUUCUGUUCUGCUAGUUUGAAACAGCACUGGACCUAGAAAUGUGUGAGCAAUGUAAUUAAUAAAUUAUCACUUAUUAAUGCAGGCAUGAAUAAAUAAAGCAAGUUAAAAUAAGCAUCAAAUAAAGCUAAUUAAAACAAGUUAUUUCAGUGUCAAUAAGCACCUUUAAAACACUAUCACUUAGAUUACACUUUUUACCUCAAUUUCAAUUAGAACUUUUCUAGUAAAACCUCUCCUUCCCCUCCCCCUUGCAUUUCAAGAGAUUCAUUUACAAUUACAGGCUUUAAGACACCACAUAAAAGUAGGUCAUGUCAACCCAACUAUCAAUAACAGCUAGUUUCAAAUUAACACACUUGGUACAGGAUUCCCAGUGUUAUACUUGAGAUGUUUGUUUUAAUAGUUGGCAGGCAUUCACAUAUCAAAGGUUGCAGCUGUAUUUUUAAAUUAUGUUUGGUGUUGCACUCAUACACAUCUUCAGCAAUUCUGCAGCAUAUAAUUAGCGGUUUUCCUGCUUAAACAAAAAUGUUCCAAGAGAUCCAUGGGCUUUUAUUAGGAUUUUCCUUCUUAUAACAGUGCAUCAACUUGUCAAAGUUUCCAUUAUGUACACUCACAGUUCUAUUACAUAAACUCACAGUCAUAAUACAUAUAUAGUCUAUUCACUUUUAACAUUUAGUUUAACAUUUCAACAUGGUAGACAGCUUCCUCACCUCACAGAGUUUUAAUGGAGAUUUGAGUUUGCUGAAAGAUUUUAACCCACAUCCAGAAGUUAAUCCUAGUAGCAAAAUACAUGCUAAAUAACCAAUUAAUAAAGACAAUUAACAUUCUAAAAUCCCAAGAAUGGUGCAAAAUAUGUUUGUUUUAUUUUGGUAUACUUUGAACACAAGUGUAAUGGUGACUGUAUGAAGUAAUUAUGUUUAAUUAUUAUGUUUAAAUAACACACACUUGCCAUCACUACUAAUUCAGGUUGUUUUUCUUGAAACAGGUUGGUUAUCUUAAGGUGUAUGAACAUUGCAUAGGGCUGACAUUACUGUGAAGACCGCAGUAACCAUGCUGGGGAAAGUCAUUUCAAGCUAAGUGUUAAACAAUCUCCAGUUUUCCCAUUUGAUGCUCCCUAUGGAUUAGAUGCCAUCUGCACAGUGAUAUCUUUCUACUAUAUGAAACACAUCCUAAUGUCUAUGAUAGUUCCUCUACAUUCCAAUUUUAGGAGACAUGUAGGCCCAGCAUAAACUCUCUGAAAAUCAGCACAUGUUCUACUUUACAGUCCAAGUUCAAAGAAACAAUGACUUUACUUUGUCCUAUAAUUCACCUUCUAUUAAUAAAUGCAUGCACUUAACCAGAUAAAGUCUACAUUCAAACAAUCAUAUUCUGCUCCAACAGUAUAAUCUCUCAUUAAGCAAAGUUCUGAGUAAUUGUUCAUUGCUCUUGUUAUGCUUAAUCGUGUAAAUGCAUCAGUGCUGAAGUGAUUUAGCACCAACAGUCACCAUAACUACUGUUAGCAUUGUAAUGCCAAGAGUUGCUAAAGUGUUGUAUAGGCACAAAACCUCUGCAUUGUAUAAACAAAACUAACCAGAUAGAUUCAUAUAUUAAAUUUAUAAUUAGCUUUUUAACUAGCUUUUUGAAGACACUGUCCCCUUAAUUUUCUGAUUUGUAGACAUAAGUACUAUAAAGAGUGCUUGAGAAGUUUCUUAUUUCAGAUAUUUGCCUGAGAACUUUAGGGUACAAUGUUCACUAACCAUUAGUUCAACGGUUGUAUAGCAGCAUUUCUAAUACUCAUUUUCAAUUACGUUCAGUGGUCAUAAACCAAAGUGUCAUUUGUAGGCAAGGGCUUCUCAGCUUGUAGCACUUUCAGUUUUCAGUCGUUCCAUCAGUUGCUCAGCCUGUUAAAACAAAGUGUGAGAUAAUGUUAGUUCUUCUCUGGCUGCCUUCAAAAUACUUAUUUGUCCUUUGGAGUGAACAGACUGCUCCAAACCUGGAAGAAAAGAUAUUCGUGCUCUUGUGAGGACUUAAAAUUGAUAUAGCAGCAGAAAUGGCUUUCUGAAAAAAUGUAUUAAGUGCCUUAUGUUUUGUAUAAGUAUAACUUAUAUACAUUAGCCUUUAUUGGCAUAAAAUAUAAGUAUAAUUGUUUAAGUAGAAGGAAGAAAAGUUUUCAGUGUUUAAAAAUAAUUGUUUAAGGAGAUAAGAGCUAAUAGAAUGCCAAGUUUGGCCUUUUUUAUCUAAGAUUGAAAAGGUCUGUUCAGAAAUGUUUUUUAAUAAGUCAGUAUUUUAACUAACAGCUUUCAUUUUAUUCAGUUUCAUUUCAUUCAGUUUAACGAUAUGACUCUGAUUUGUCUUUGCAGAGAUUAUAGGGCAUACUGUUUUGCUCUACAACAGUAACAUAUUCUUCAAAGCUAUAGCAAGCUUAUGUGAUUUCUUAAUAAGGCAGUUCUUGCGAUUUUUGUCCGAAGACAGAAUUAUUCAGUUACCUAGAAUAUUAGACAGCUAGUACAGAGGAUUGGUUUAAGAUUAUAUCAUUGUAGGUCAGAUGGCAGUGACUAAUGCAAAAAUCUCUGUAAAAACAGAAAUUCCAGUUCACUCUUUGCUCUUUCCAGUCUGGCCCUCACAUCAGAAAAGAAAGAUGCCACUGGGCGCCUGCACUCUGGACUUACAGCCAUUGGGCUCUUGAGCUUGGUUACCAGCUCUGUAACACGCAAUGGGACUCUGUCUUUGCAUGGCAAGAGAUCUACUGGAUUCUUGCUGGGGCAAGUAGCCAGUAAGCUGUAUUUUCACCUUCUUGCUUUCUGCAGCAAGAAAAAUAGUUUAGAUAAGUUCCUUAGGUUAUAUCUGGGGGAAAACUUUUAUUUUAUUAGAUAACUGUUUUUAUUUUAUAUGUCUUCCCUGAGACAUUUGUUGAAUUGAAGAUUUUGUUUCUGAUAGGGAUGAAGUAAAUAUUUAUAUUUUUAAGUCUCUGGCGUUAUUGAGUUGAGCCUGAUAAGCAGAUGGCCUAACAAAACUAAGUCUUUCAAGGUUAACUGGCAUAAUUAAUAGACAGUAACAAUGUUCAGUAACCAGAUGCCUCUCUUCCAAAUCAAUAUUGUAUAGUCUCUUAGGGUACUUCCAUAUGUUGAUGUUUUCCAUGGAAUUCACUACCAGUGUGAAUACUUCUGAAUUUGCAUCAGGUAUGGAGUAUCCACAUCGUGGCUUUCUGCACACUUUGCUUACCUUAGCCCCAGGCCAUUGGAAGGUUUUUUUUAAAAAAAACUAGUAAUUAACAUUAUUAUAACCUUAAGCUAUAGAAAACUGUUUUGCACUGUUCAGCUUUGGUAAUCAACAUGUGGUAUUUAUGCUCUAGUUAGUAGGUUAGUUAUGAUGUAUUAGGGGGUAUCUUCUCGAUGCUGGAGAUGUAAAAGGAAAAAGGAUGCAUAUAUCAUAUGUGGUGGAAUUGUGAAUUAAUUAGAGAAUUUUGCCUGGAGAUUCAUAACAAAUUAACAAAUUUAAGUAUUGAUUUAACUUUUCAACCAGAAUUGUUUUUGUUGAAUAUGGUAGAUAUCACAAUGAAGAAACAUUGUAGAACGUUGCUUUUAUAUAUGGUUACGGCAGCCAGACUACUGAUCUCAAGGAAUUGGAAAAAGACUAAUGUCCCGCUGAUAAAGGAUUGGAUUCUACUUCUCAUUGACUUUGCCUCUCUUGAUAAAUUAUCGAAUAUAUUAAAAAAGAAGAAUGUAGAAACUAUUAUAAAUAUUUGGCAGCCAUUUAAUGAAUAUUAUGAAACUAAGUUUGGACACAAAAAUAUGCUAACAUACCUUUAAUGCUAGAAAUUGAUUAAACAAACUAAAAUGAGAUACAACUUUUGGAUUUUAAGUUAAAAAGGAUUUCUUUAACUGAAAGUUGUUUAUAUUUCUUUGCUUUUUUUCUUCUGUUUUCUCCCUUUUUUAGUUGAUGCUUUUUAUAUGCAGUAAUAUGACGUAAGAUGAUAUGUGGUCUGUUUUGAUUAUGUUAAGUUAUAAUGGUAUUGCUAAGUUGUAAUUGUUAUGUAUUUAAUCUGAAAUAAGACUUAUUUUAAUUUUUUUAA
This is a long non-coding RNA of Sphaerodactylus townsendi, 5051 nucleotides long. RefSeq lists it as uncharacterized. The record is from RefSeq and is a predicted model, not a curated record. NCBI's taxonomy places the organism in Eukaryota, Metazoa, Chordata, Lepidosauria, Squamata, Sphaerodactylidae. The transcript has 2 exons.